This 73-nucleotide transfer RNA is filed under the name Pseudomonadota bacterium. Its description in RNAcentral is "tRNA-Arg". It matches the Rfam family "tRNA". From Rfam's summary of the family: Transfer RNA (tRNA) molecules are approximately 80 nucleotides in length. Their secondary structure includes four short double-helical elements and three loops (D, anti-codon, and T loops). RNAcentral also lists the same sequence under 1 other name. Lineage: Bacteria; Pseudomonadati; Pseudomonadota. The record is from RNAcentral.
GCCCCCGUAGCUCAGGGGACAGAGCAGCGGUUUCCUAAACCGCGUGUCGGAGGUUCGAGUCCUCCCGGGGGCA